Molecule: ribosomal RNA, 257 nt
Filed under: uncultured bacterium
Lineage: Bacteria
Description: partial 16S ribosomal RNA
Rfam family: Bacterial small subunit ribosomal RNA
Source: RNAcentral
UACGAAGGGGGCUAGCGUUGCUCGGAUUUACUGGGCGUAAAGCGCACGUAGGCGGAUCGUUAAAGUGAGGGGUGAAAUCCCAGGGCUCAACCCUGGAACUGCCUUUUCAUACUGGCGAUCUUGAGUCCGGAAGAGGUGAGUGGAACUCCUAGUGUAGAGGUGGAAUUCGUAGAUAUUAGGAAGAACACCAGUGGCGAAGGCGGCUCACUGGUCCGGUACUGGACGCUGAGGUGCGGAAAGCGAGGGGAGCGAGAGGA